This is a long non-coding RNA of Entelurus aequoreus (snake pipefish), 1295 nucleotides long. RefSeq lists it as uncharacterized. Lineage: Eukaryota; Metazoa; Chordata; Actinopteri; Syngnathiformes; Syngnathidae. The transcript is spliced from 3 exons. The record is from RefSeq and is a predicted model, not a curated record.
GCUGACACUUUAUUUACUUUCAGUCCCCCGGCUGAGAAGUGGCUAGCAGCCAAUUAAGUCUGCCGCUCCCCUGAGUUAAAAGUUAGUUCAAGUUCAAGUACCAAUGAUUGUCACACACACACACACACACUAGCUGUCAGAAUAAUUGUAUCGAAGUCACCACAAAACGUUGUGUUACAUUGAGUUCAGCAUGCCCUGAGAGAGGACAAAAGCUGUCUUUGUAAAACUCCACUGGGUAGGAUGGGAAGCGACAUGAAGGCGUCAGUUUCUUUGAUGUAUUGUAAUCCACAGGGAGAUUUUGUCUUGACCCGAGAUCUACAAAGCGGAGAGAAAGCAGGACGCUGCCCAAGCUCCAGGCACCUCUUCGUUGAACUGUUUUACGACCUUUUCUUUGAACUGUUUUGUAACCAAAGGCGAUGGUUGUUUACGACCCCCCAUCCCUUAGAAACAGCUGUUGCCAUGUAAUCAGGGAAAGUCCAAAUAAAAGAGGAGGCGUACAAUCUUUCGUCGGAGCGUCGGACGACACUUUACAAGGAUGCCAUCAGUGUUUGAACCUGACAAAUACCUUUAAAAUUCUUCAGAGCAACCGGAAAUCAUCAGCCCGGAGGUUGGGUCUUGGGCAAGGUUGGGUGUUCCAACAGGACAAUGACCUCAAACACAGGUCAAAAUCAGGCUAGAAUGAAAGUUUUAGAUUGCUCCCCUGAGUUAAAAGUUAGUUCAAGUUCAAGUACCAAUGAUUGUCACACACACACACUAGCUGUCAGAAUAAUUGUAUCGAAGUCACCACAAAACGUUGUGUUACAUUGAGUUCAGCAUGCCCUGCGAGAGGACAAAAGCUGUCUUUGUAAAACUCCACUGGGUAGGAUGGGAAGCGACAUGAAGGCGUCAGUUUCUUUGAUGUAUUGUAAUCCACAGGGAGAUUUUGUCUUGACCCGAGAUCUACAAAGCGGAGAGAAAGCAGGACCCUGCCCAAGCUCCAGGCACCUCUUCGUUGAACUGUUUUACGGCAUUUUCUUUGAACUGUUUUGCAACCAAAGGCGAUGGUUGUUUACGACCCCCCAUCCCUUAGAAACAGCUGUUGCCAUGUAAUCAGGGAAAGUCCAAAUAAAAGAGGAGGCGUACAAUCUUUCGUCAGAGCGUGGGACGACACUUUCCAAGGAUGCCAUCAGUGUUUGAACCUGACAAAUACCUCAAAAUUCUUCAGAGCAACCGGAAAUCAUCAGCCCGGAGGUUGGGUCUUGGGCAAGGUUGGGUGUUCCAACAGGACAAUGACCUCAAACACAGGUCAAAAGUGG